UGGGGAAUAUUGGACAAUGGGGGGAACCCUGAUCCAGCCAUGCCGCGUGUGUGAAGAAGGCCUUAUGGUUGUAAAGCACUUUAAGCGAGGAGGAGGGUACUGGUAUUAAUACUACCAGGUACUGGACGUUACUCGCAGAAUAAGCACCGGCUAACUCUGUGCCAGCAGCCGCGGUAAUACAGAGGGUGCGAGCGUUAAUCGGAUUUACUGGGCGUAAAGCGUGCGUAGGCGGCUAAUUGAGUCGGAUGUGAAAUCCCCGAGCUUAACUUGGGAAUUGCAUUCGAUACUGGUUAGCUAGAGUGUGGGAGAGGGUGGUAGAAUUCCAGGUGUAGCGGUGAAAUGCGUAGAGAUCUGGAGGAAUACCGAUGGCGAAGGCAGCCAUCUGGCCUAACACUGACGCUGAGGUACGAAAGCAUGGGGAGCAAACAGG
Molecule: ribosomal RNA, 430 nt
Filed under: Pseudomonadota bacterium
Lineage: Bacteria; Pseudomonadati; Pseudomonadota
Description: Proteobacteria bacterium partial 16S ribosomal RNA
Rfam family: Bacterial small subunit ribosomal RNA
Source: RNAcentral